Molecule: ribosomal RNA, 493 nt
Filed under: uncultured bacterium
Lineage: Bacteria
Description: partial 16S ribosomal RNA
Rfam family: Bacterial small subunit ribosomal RNA
Source: RNAcentral
GAGUGAACGCUGGCGGUAGGCCUAACACCUGCAAGUCGAACGGCAGCACAGUAAGAGCUUGCUCUUACGGGUGGCGAGUGGCGGACGGGUGAGGAAUACAUCGGAAUCUACUUUUUCGUGGGGGAUAACGUAGGGAAACUUACGCUAAUACCGCAUACGACCUACGGGUGAAAGCAGGGGAUCUUCGGACCUUGCGCGAUUGAAUGAGCCGAUGUCGGAUUAGCUAGUUGGCGGGGUAAAGGCCCACCAAGGCGACGAUCCGUAGCUGGUCUGAGAGGAUGAUCAGCCACACUGGAACUGAGACACGGUCCAGACUCCUACGGGAGGCAGCAGUGGGGAAUAUUGGACAAUGGGCGCAAGCCUGAUCCAGCCAUACCGCGUGGGUGAAGAAGGCCUUCGGGUUGUAAAGCCCUUUUGUUGGGAAAGAAAAGCAGCAGGUUAAUACCCCGCUGUUCUGACGGUACCCAAAGAAUAAGCACCGGCUAACUUCGUG